UUCCUACGGGGGGCAGCAGUGGGGGAUAUUGCACAAUGGGGGGAACCCUGAUGCAGCGACGCCGCGUGGGUGAAGAAGCGCCUCGGCGCGUAAAGCCCUGUCAGCAGGGAAGAGCAGAAGACGGUACCUCUUGAAUAAGCCACGGCUAACUACGUGCCAGCAGCCGCGGUAAUACGUAGGUGGCAAGCGUUGUCCGGAUUUACUGGGUGUAAAGGGCGUGCAGCCGGGAAGACAAGUCAGAUGUGAAAUCCCGCGGCUCAACCGCGGAACUGCAUUUGAAACUGUUUUUCUUGAGUACCGGAGAG
Molecule: ribosomal RNA, 305 nt
Filed under: uncultured bacterium
Lineage: Bacteria
Description: bacterial SSU rRNA
Rfam family: Bacterial small subunit ribosomal RNA
Source: RNAcentral